ACGAGCGUAGCUCAAUUGGUAGAGCACCGGUCUCCAAACCGGCGGUUGGGGGUUCGAUUCCCUCCGCUCGUG
Molecule: transfer RNA, 72 nt
Filed under: Planctomycetaceae bacterium
Lineage: Bacteria; Pseudomonadati; Planctomycetota; Planctomycetia; Planctomycetales; Planctomycetaceae
Description: tRNA-OTHER
Rfam family: tRNA
About the family: Transfer RNA (tRNA) molecules are approximately 80 nucleotides in length.
Source: RNAcentral